GACGAACGCUGGCGGCGUGCUUAACACAUGCAAGUCGAACGGAAAGGCCCUGCUUUUGUGGGGUGCUCGAGUGGCGAACGGGUGAGUAACACGUGAGUAACCUGCCCUUGACUUUGGGGUAAAUUCAGGAAACUGGGGCUAAUACCGGAUAGGAGCUCCUGCUGCAUGGUGGGGGGUGGAAAGGUUCGGCGGUUGGGGAUGGACUCGCGGCUUAUCAGCUUGUUGGUGGGGUAGUGGCUUACCAAGGCUUUGACGGGUAGCCGGCCUGAGAGGGUGACCGGCCACAUUGGGACUGAGAUACGGCCCAGACUCCUACGGGAGGCAGCAGUGGGGAAUAUUGCACAAUGGGCGGAAGCCUGAUGCAGCAACGCCGCGUGCGGGAUGACGGCCUUCGGGUUGUAAACCGCUUUCGCCUGUGACGAAGCGUGAGUGACGGUAAUGGGUAAAGAAGCACCGGCUAACUACGUG
RNAcentral lists this ribosomal RNA (468 nucleotides) under uncultured bacterium. RNAcentral's name for it is "partial 16S ribosomal RNA". It matches the Rfam family "Bacterial small subunit ribosomal RNA", at positions 28 to 507 of the family's 1533-position model. The record is from RNAcentral.